AACGAACGCUGGCGGCAGGCUUAACACAUGCAAGUCGAACGGGCGUAGCAAUACGUCAGUGGCGGACGGGUGAGUAACACGUGGGAAUAUGCCUUUCGGUUCGGAACAACUCGGGGAAACUCGUGCUAAUUCCGGAUACGCCCUUACGGGGAAAGGAUUUAUCGCCGAAGGAUUAGCCCGCGUUGGAUUAGCUAGUUGGUGAGGUAAUGGCCCACCAAGGCGACGAUCCAUAGCUGGUUUGAGAGAACGACCAGCCACACUGGGACUGAGACACGGCCCAGACUCCUACGGGAGGCAGCAGUGGGGAAUCUUGGACAAUGGAGGAAACUCUGAUCCAGCCAUGCCGCGUGAGUGAUGAAGGCCUUCGGUUGU
This 372-nucleotide ribosomal RNA is filed under the name uncultured bacterium. Its description in RNAcentral is "bacterial SSU rRNA". It matches the Rfam family "Bacterial small subunit ribosomal RNA", at positions 29 to 426 of the family's 1533-position model. The record is from RNAcentral.